Molecule: ribosomal RNA, 687 nt
Filed under: uncultured bacterium
Lineage: Bacteria
Description: bacterial SSU rRNA
Rfam family: Bacterial small subunit ribosomal RNA
Source: RNAcentral
GUAGUGGUCUCUCCGAUGGGAUCGCUGCUGCAGCGAAAGCAUUAAGUAUUCCGCCUGGGGAGUACGGCCGCAAGGCUAAAACUCAAAGGAAUUGACGGGAGCUCGCACAACCGGUGGAUGAUGUUGUUUAAUUCGAGGCAACGCGAAGAACCUUACCUAGGCUUGACAUGUACGUGGUACAAACCCGAAAGGGGGAGGACCUGCUUGCAGGAGCGUACACAGGUGCUGCAUGGCUGUCGUCAGUUCGUGCCGUGAGGUGUUGGGUUAAGUCCCGUAACGAACGAAACCCCUAUUAUUAGUUGCCAGCGGGUAAUGCCGGGGACUCUAGUGAUACUGCCCGUGUUAAACGGGAGGAAGGUGGGGAUGACGUCAAGUCCUCAUUGCCUUUAUGCCUAGGGCUACAAACGUCCUACAAUGGUCGGUACAGAGAGAAGCAAUACCGCGAGGUGGAGCAAAUCUCCAAAGCCGGCCCCAGUUCGGAUUGUGGGCUGCAAUUCGCCCACAUGAAGCCGGAAUCGGUAGUAAUCGCGUGUCAGCUAUAACGCGGUGAAUAUGUUCCCGAGCUUUGUACACACCGCCCGUCAAGCCAUGAAAGUUGGGGGUACCCUAAGUCGGCAGUCUAACCUUCGGGGGGACACCGCCUAAGGUAAACUCAGCAAUUGGGACUAAGUCGUAACAAGGUAGCCG